GUAAAUUUUGGAAAAAUUGGUCUAACUAAAUUGAGAAAUUAAAUUUCACAUAAAGAAAAAUUAUAAUUAAAUAGACACAUACAUUUAGUUAUUAAAACAUAUAUAAAUAUCAAGGUAUUAAGUUGACUAGCAACUAAAGAUUAGUCGGCCUUGGGAUUAUACAAUCAAAGUUCAAUUUAGCCAUAGUGGGGAUGGAACCUAGGUCGUUUUCUUAAAUAUGAAUCAACCUUACCUAGUAGGUGAUAGUCAAUAUGCGAACCAGUUAUAUGCAUUAUAAUAUAUAGGGUAAAUUACACAGAUGGUGUCUAUGGUUCAGGGUAUUCUAUAUGUUUUGUCCGUAACAAUCUUUUUUAAUUCGGACCGUCCUUAUUUUUUAUUUUUAUUGUAUGUUUGAUCCAUGUCUAUGUCAAAAAGACUAAGGGCCUGUUUGAUUAGAUGCUGAUUGGGUCCAGUCAGAGGUUUUUGUCUGACUCGGUCCAGUCAGAUUGUUUGUUUUGCAUUUGAUCUGGUCCAUAUCUCUGACUUGGUCCGCCAAUAGUUGCUGAUUCGGUCCGUCAAAAAAAAAAAGAGCUGACCGAGUAAAAUCAUUUGUUUGUCCUUCUCCUCCCAAAAUAUGCGUAAUCCUUCGCAGCUCUUCUUCCUCGUCGCCAAAGAACGAACGCAAGGACAGCUAGCUCCACCGCUUCCUCCUCAAACUCCGGCCUCCUCCUCCAGAAUCGUCCUCCAUCGCAAUCAUCGUCUCCGGCCUCCUUCAUCUUUGAUUUUGAUCAAGAAGCAAAAGAAAUCAGAUGCAAGACGAUGCGGCUAUGAUUUACAAUAGUAAAUGGAAGCAUUAAUUGAGUUUAAAGUCAAAGAAGUUUGGAUGGUCAAAAUUGGAGUUCCAUCCUUAACAAUCAAUCGGGAAGUUAGUUUUGUGCUGAUGUUUGCAAAUUGAAAAAGAUGCGAUCAAAAGGAAAUUCAAAGGCGUUCAAAAUCGAUAUGUUUUAUUGUAUAUGGAUUAUGAGUUUUAUUGUAUAUGGAUUAUGAAGUAUGGGGUUGAUGAUAAUAGCUUGAGAAAGAAUGGGAAGAAGGAAAAAAGAACAAUUUUGUACAUACGGAAUAUGUGUGUAGAUUGUCAAAUUUAUACCUUAAAGUGUUGUGUAUUAUAUGGUUACUUUUGGAUUUUAUAUGCUAUUUUAUUUAAGGGUAAUAUAAUUAUUUUGUUUUACUGUA
Long non-coding RNA from Lactuca sativa (garden lettuce), 1212 nucleotides. RefSeq lists it as uncharacterized. The record is from RefSeq and is a predicted model, not a curated record. NCBI's taxonomy places the organism in Eukaryota, Viridiplantae, Streptophyta, Magnoliopsida, Asterales, Asteraceae.